CCCUACUGCUAUCGGGGUGGGACUAAGACAUGCGAGUCGAACGCCUCCAAGCCACGAUGGAGGCGCGGCGCACGGCUCAGUAACACGUGGUCAACCUACCCUUGGGACGGAUGCAACCCCGGGAAACUGGGGCUAAUCUCCGAUAGGCGAAGAGGCCUGGAAUGGUUCUUCACCCAAAAGACGUUGGAAUCAUGCUUCUAACGCCGCCCAAGGAUGGGACCGCGACCGAUCAGGCUGUUGGUGAGGUAACGGCUCACCAAACCUAUAACCGGUACGGGCCGCGGGAGCGGUAGCCUGGAGAUGGGCACUGAGACAAGGACCCAGGCCCUACGGGGCGCAGCAGUCGCGCAACCUCUGCAAUACGCGAAAGCGUGACAGGGCUACCCCGAGUGCCGUCCGCUGAGGAUGGCUUUUCUCCGGUGUAGUAAGCCGGAGGAAUAAGGAGAGGGCAAGUCUGGUGUCAGCCGCCGCGGUAAUACCAGCUCUCCGAGUGGUAGGGACGAUUAUUGGGCCUAAAGCGUCCGUAGCCGGCCAAGCAAGUUUCCCGUUAAAUCCAGCGAUCCAAUCGUUGGACUGCGGGAAAUACUGUUUGGCUAGGGGGCGAGAGAGGCCAACGGUAUUCCCGGGGUAGGGGUGAAAUCCUAUAAUCCCGGGAGGACCACCAGUGGCGAAGGCUGUUGGCUAGAACGCGCUCGACGGUGAGGGACGAAAGCUGGGGGAGCGAACCGGAUUAGAUACCCGGGUAGUCCCAGCUGUAAACGAUGCGGGCUAGGUGUUAGGGCGGCUAAGAGCCGCUCUAGUGCCGCAGGAAAGCCAUUAAGCCCGCCGCCUGGGGAGUACGGCCGCAAGGCUGAAACUUAAAGGAAUUGGCGGGGGAGCACCACCAGGGGUGAAGCUUGCGGUUU
RNAcentral lists this ribosomal RNA (905 nucleotides) under uncultured archaeon. RNAcentral describes it as "bacterial SSU rRNA". It matches the Rfam family "Archaeal small subunit ribosomal RNA", at positions 21 to 903 of the family's 1478-position model. The record is from RNAcentral.